RNAcentral lists this ribosomal RNA (915 nucleotides) under uncultured Bacteroidota bacterium. RNAcentral describes it as "bacterial SSU rRNA". It matches the Rfam family "Bacterial small subunit ribosomal RNA", at positions 10 to 917 of the family's 1533-position model. Lineage: Bacteria; Pseudomonadati; Bacteroidota. The record is from RNAcentral.
ACUUUGAUCCUGGCUCAGGAUGAACGCUAGCUACAGGCCCAACACAUGCAAGUCGAGGGGCAGCAUUUUUCCAGCUUGCUGGAAAAGAUGGCGACCGGCGCACGGGUGAGUAACACGUAUCCAACCUUCCGUUUACUCAGGGACAGCCUUUCGAAAGAAAGAUUAAUACCUGAUAGUAUCGAGAGAUUGCAUGAUAGCCCGAUUAAAGAUUAAUCGGUAAACGAUGGGGAUGCGUUCCAUUAGCUUGUUGGCGGGGUAACGGCCCACCAAGGCGACGAUGGAUAGGGGUUCUGAGAGGAAGGUCCCCCACAUUGGAACUGAGACACGGUCCAAACUCCUACGGGAGGCAGCGGUGAGGAAUAUUGGUCAAUGGGCGAGAGCCUGAACCAGCCAAGUAGCGUGAAGGAUGAAGGUUCUAUGGAUUGUAAACUUCUUUUAUACGGGAAUAAAACCUCCCACGUGUGGGAGCUUGUAUGUACCGUAUGAAUAAGCAUCGGCUAACUCUGUGCCAGCGGCCGCGGUAAUACGGAGGAUGCGAGCGUUAUCCGGAUUUAUUGGGUUUAAAGGGAGCGCAGACGGGAGAUUAAGUCAGCUGUGAAAGUUUGCGGCUCAACCGUAAAAUUGCAGUUGAUACUGGAUUCCUUGAGUGCGGUUGAGGUGUGCGGAAUUCGUGGUGUAGCGGUGAAAUGCUUAGAUAUCACGAAGAACCCCGAUUGCGAAGGCAGCACACUAAGCCGUAACUGACGUUCAUGCUCGAAAGUGUGGGUAUCAAACAGGAUUAGAUACCCUGGUAGUCCACACGGUAAACGAUGGAUACUCGCUGUUGGCGAUGUACAGUCAGCGGCCAAGCGAAAGCAUUAAGUAUCCCACCUGGGGAGUACGCCGGCAACGGUGCAACUCAAAUGAAUUGACGGA